RNAcentral lists this ribosomal RNA (109 nucleotides) under [Bacillus] enclensis. RNAcentral's name for it is "Bacillus enclensis partial 23S ribosomal RNA". It matches the Rfam family "Bacterial large subunit ribosomal RNA", at positions 2818 to 2925 of the family's 2925-position model. Lineage: Bacteria; Bacillati; Bacillota; Bacilli; Caryophanales; Bacillaceae. The record is from RNAcentral.
CUUUAUGUGAGUAAGAUCCCUGGAAGAUGACCAGGUAGAUAGGUCAGAGGUGGAAGCAUGGCGACAUGUGGAGCUGACUGAUACUAAUCGAUCGAGGACUUAACCACAA